Molecule: long non-coding RNA, 1778 nt
Organism: Carassius auratus (goldfish)
Lineage: Eukaryota; Metazoa; Chordata; Actinopteri; Cypriniformes; Cyprinidae
Source: Ensembl
AUUACUUUUUUUAUUAUUAUUAUUAUUUAUUAACAAUGACUUGUAAAUCAAUUGUCACCAAAACCAGCAUUCUUGUGUUUCACAGAAUUUUCAAUUCAUGUGAACUAUCAAUUUAAUAAAACAUGGUUACAUUUUGAUUGCAUGUUUUGAUUUCAAGUGCAUUGAUCUUCAACUCCUUUUCAGGUGAACUGAUUGGGUUAGAGUACCUGUACCAUCAGACUGGCAAAGCAAUCCAGGACAGCAGAUUUAUCAUUAGACAGAUGGAAACCACUGACCUCCAAGUGGCUAAAAGUGAGGGAUGCUGCAAACUAGAGGACAUUGGGGAUUGGACAAUCACACAACAACCCAUCCCAUCUCUGUUAGAAGCUUCUCGAUCGAUGACAAGCCGAGGUGCUCUGUUUCAGGAGGAAGAUCUCUUUCCUCCAAACACAUCCUCGCCUGCUCCAGAGAAGGUUCCUUUCAUAAAAGAAGAGGAUAAUUGCAACGACAAGCCUCUCAUUUCAAACUUGCCUCCAGACACUGUGAUGGAAAGCAGCAACACAACACAAGAAGAAGCCUCAACAGAACAACCCCAGUCAGGCUCAAUGCUGACUUUGCCCAUUUUGUUUUCCAGCCCUUUUCCGCUAAAACAAAUGAUGGUGGUUUUAGCACAUGCACAAAAGAUUGAUGCACCACCAACAGCGAGCUUCCAUGCGGUUCCUGUUCCUCACACCACACAGUACUACCAGAAGAGAAAACUGGUCAAGGAAAAAGAUGGCAUUUGUACCAGGAAGUAUGUGCGAAGAUCAGAGGCUAUCCAGUGCAGAAAGUGCAAUAAAGAGAGAGUAAUGUCAACUCAUCGCCAGUAUUUUGGCAACUGGUAUUGUGAGGAGACUGAAACAAAACCCUUUGCUGUGUGGAAGGAUGAACUGAUAAAGCGGGGUUAUGGAAAGAAGAAGUGCUAAAGGAUGUAAUCAGCGAUGGACAUCCAGCUCCUUUUGUUUUAAUUGUUCUUAUUUAACUGCAUUUUUUCCAUUAGUCAUAUGUAAUUAAAAAUGUUGGCUUUUUGGUGCUCCUAAUCAAAAUAUAAUUGCAGCGCUGCGGUAAAAUCAUUUGUGGCAGUGGAACUGAGCUGUUUUAUCCAUACAACUCAACACUUCUGUGAUUCAUAAUUAGUUUCUGGGUAAAAUAUUAUUUUUAUUUAUGCUUAAGGUCUGUCGUUUAUUGCAGUUAGGUUUCCAGACUGUUCUCUCUGUGCUGAGUCUGGUUUCUUUUAUCAUUUUAUAACAUUACAAAUAUAUACAAACAGAACUGUUUUGGCUCAAGAGCUGUUCAAAAUUGUACAUUAUUUGAAUAAAAAAAAGAAACCAUAACAUUUAAUAAAAAGAUUAAGUUCAUGCUUUGUUUCCUUUCUCAUGCAACACUUUUACCGUAUGUUAGGACUAUAUCCUGCUCUAGCUAUUGAACGGUUUAAAACUGUCUAGAUAUUAGAGUGUCACUUGUGAAGGCAUUAUAUCAAGGGAGGCAGAACUAAUGAUUGGAGUCCCUCAAGGUUCCAUAUAAGGGCCUUUGUUGUUUACAAUCGACAUAAAUUAUAUUUGUACAAAUGUAGAUGUAGCUGUACAUUUCUAUGCAGAUGAUACUGUUAUAUACAGUACUGCUAGAUCUCAGUAUAAGGCAUUAGAAAUUGCAGGAUGCCUUUACAGUUUUACCAUUUUUUUUUUUACUUGAAUUAAAAUUGGUACUUAAUUUUAAAAAGACAAAAAUGUAUGUUAUUUACUCAUUCUAGGAAUGUACAG